Molecule: small RNA, 1527 nt
Filed under: Histoplasma capsulatum var. duboisii H88
Lineage: Eukaryota; Fungi; Ascomycota; Eurotiomycetes; Onygenales; Ajellomycetaceae
Description: Histoplasma capsulatum H88 hypothetical RNA
Source: RNAcentral
ACCCCUACACACCGAAAUCGUGGCCAGCCUACUCAUUUUGAGAGCCAGCGCCUAUUUGAUGUCGUUCCAGGAUUGGAUCUAUACGAAACUAUUCGUUUCUGAACGCCUAAACUCCACUUUUCGAGCGCCGGCGUUAGGAUUCAAACAACGUUUUUGGUGUGGCGGCUUCAGGAAUGGUGCGACUUAGGAUCUAUCUUGCUCUGCAUUUAAGCGCCCACGACUGCUUGCAAUAUUGUCAAGAAGGCUUUUCUUAGCUAAGGCAGAGAAGGUUACUUUUACUGAAGAGGAAUCUUGAGUGGUUUUGAAUGCAUUCUGGGAGCAAGGAAUGAUGUAUACAAUUCAAUUAGAGGAGCACCUAGCACUAAUUUUAUAACAAUUUUUUUUUCCAGGAUCAGCAGCACAAAACCUAUUGGUGAAUGCCAACGCGGUUGAAUUAACGCACGCCCGGUAAAACCAGAUAAAAACUGGGUAUAUGGCUAUUCCAAUGGGAAACGGGUAGAAUAACACGGCUAUCUAUUUUUUAUCUCAUCACAGGAGGUCUGCUUUCCUUGUUCCAUUUCACCCUGCUGCGAACCCAUUCCACUGCUUCCCUCACCCCGCUCCCCAUCAGCGCACUGAUGGGCAACACUCGACUAUCUCGCACACCACCCCCUUCCUCGCCCUCAAACACCUUUCUCACAAACCCUUCCUUGAUCCUCACUACCUCCACGCAAUCUUCUCUAUCUUGCUUAUUCGCGAGCACAAGGAUGGGCACCCCGAUCGUCUCCGCAUGCUGCAAUACGGAUUCAAGAACCUGGCGACACUCAUCCAAUCUCCCAAAUUCACCCUGGGGAUCUAUGGCGUUCAUGGGUUCGGUAAUAGCACCUGAAAGUCCCUUGGCGUUCGAUGGCGCAUUUGGCCCUCCUUUAUGUCCACUCUGAGCAAGGCGCGAAACGUCUGCGUCUUCGCCUACAUCUGCACUAUCGACCACAAAAAUAAUGGCAUGACAGCUCGAAUAGUAGCUUUGCCAGAGGCCACGCAUUGAUAUCUGUCCUCCUAUAUCCCAUAUUUUUAAGUACAUGUCUGGAAGCGGAAUAGUUGCGACAUUUUGGCCGACGGUUGGGACGGUUUUGCCAGGGAGGGGCUGCGUCGCGGUGUUGUUUGGGUCGGUGGGGAGGAAGAGAGCUUUUAUCUGAUUUAGCAAAGUGGUUUUGCCUGCAUUAUCCAGGCCAAGGAGCAGGACGGAGUAUUCUAUAUUGUUGCUAAGUCAAUAGUGAUUUUGGGUAUCGGCGAUGGCAAAGUGGUUACAUGGGGGGUCUAAGGGGUGGAGGUAGUUGAAGUAUGAUAUUGUGGGCAAGACAUACCCUCUUUACUCGUAGCAUAGAAAUAAAUCGAUUUGGCAAGAUGGUACAUGGUCUUCAGAUUAGGAUGCCAACACCCGAUGGGCACAGGCUUAUUGCCGUCAUCAACUCGAUGCGACAACGUCAAAUCCCCACCCACGUCUAACCGCGUUACAGAGUUGCGACAGUAACUAAAUCAUGACGUAAG